CCUACGGGAGGCUGCAGUGGGGAAUAUUGGACAAUGGGGGUAACCCUGAUCCAGCCAUGCCGCGUGUGUGAAGAAGGCCCUCGGGUUGUAAAGCACUUUCAGUGAGGAAGAACGCCUGGUGGUUAAUACCCAUCAGGAAAGACAUCACUCACAGAAGAAGCACCGGCUAACUCCGUGCCAGCAGCCGCGGUAAUACGGAGGGUGCGAGCGUUAAUCGGAAUUACUGGGCGUAAAGCGCGCGUAGGUGGCUUGAUAAGCCGGUUGUGAAAGCCCCGGGCUCAACCUGGGAACGGCAUCCGGAACUGUCAAGCUAGAGUGCAGGAGAGGAAGGUAGAAUUCCCGGUGUAGCGGUGAAAUGCGUAGAGAUCGGGAGGAAUACCAGUGGCGAAGGCGGCCUUCUGGACUGACACUGACACUGAGGUGCGAAAGCGUGGGUAGCAAACAGGAUUAGAUACCCUUGUAGUC
RNAcentral lists this ribosomal RNA (465 nucleotides) under Vreelandella stevensii. RNAcentral's name for it is "partial 16S ribosomal RNA". It matches the Rfam family "Bacterial small subunit ribosomal RNA", at positions 338 to 795 of the family's 1533-position model. Lineage: Bacteria; Pseudomonadati; Pseudomonadota; Gammaproteobacteria; Oceanospirillales; Halomonadaceae. The record is from RNAcentral.